This 494-nucleotide ribosomal RNA is filed under the name Acrobeloides sp. Sourhope farm. Its description in RNAcentral is "SSU rRNA". It matches the Rfam family "Eukaryotic small subunit ribosomal RNA", at positions 48 to 541 of the family's 1831-position model. The record is from RNAcentral. Lineage: Eukaryota; Metazoa; Nematoda; Chromadorea; Rhabditida; Cephalobidae.
GCCAUGCAUGUCUAAGUAUAAACGAUUUAAUCGUGAAACCGCGAAUGGCUCAUUAUAACAGCUAUAAUUUACUUGAUCUUGACACAAUCCUACUUGGAUAACUGUGGUAAUUCUAGAGCUAAUACAUGCAUUAAAGCUCUGACCUCACGGGAAGAGUGCAUUUAUUAGAACAAAACCAAUCGGCUUCGGCUGUUUCUGGUUGACUCAUAGUAACUGAGCUGAUCGCAUGGUCUUGCACCGGCGACGUGUCUUUCAAGUAUCUGCCGUAUCAACUUUCGAUGGUAGUGUAUCUGACUACCAUGGUGAUCACGCGUAACGGAGAAUAAGGGUUCGGCUCCGGAGAGUUCGCCUGAGAAAUCGCGAACACAUCUAAGGAAGGCAGCAGGCGCGAAAAUUACCCACUCUCAGCACGAGGAGGUAGUGACGAAAAAUAACGAGACCGUUCUCUUAUGAGGCCGGUCAUCGGAAUGGGUACAAUUUAAACCCUUAACGAG